UUUUCUAGAGAGAGGAUUGAACUUUUACCAGUUAGUUGCAUUGUUUUUUUGCACAUUUUUUCAAUAUUUUCCUUUAAAUUGAAGCGAGUGCGAUAGCAACUUCUAAAAGCGCAUCGGCGGCGAUUCGCCUUAGCAGAUCGGCAGCGUCAGCCUUCCGGGCGUCCAGCGCCAGCCUUCCCCACACUCCAUCUGCCGCCGGCGAAUUGACUCGCUCAGAUCUCGCCGCUGCUAAUGUUCCCCAGUGGCAGCAACAUCUCUUCUUCCACUCUGUUCUCUGCCUCGUGCCUCAACCCCGUUGCAUCCCGCCCCUACUCCUCUUCUGCCCAGCUAUAGCCCCCCGGUAGUCCCCCCUGGCUCAACACAAACUCUAUAUAUCUUUAAUGACGCUGAGGAAAACUCCUCUUCCUCGUCUUGUCCUUGACAAUGUCUCUUGCAUGAGAAAUGCACAACAGAUUCUCCGCCAUGUCAAUGCUACUGUUCACGAUGGAUCAGCUCUCGUUCUAUCAGGUACCAAUGGCUCAGGAAAAACUACUUUGCUGCGCAUGUUAGCUGGCUUCAACAAACCAACUGCUGGGCAGGUGCUGUGGAAUGGCCACGACAUCACUAAAUCAGGUGUUUUCCAUCAGUACAAGCUUCAGCUGAACUGGCUCGCACUCAAAGAUGGCAUCAAGGAUAAAUUCACAGUCCGGGACAAUGUUUUAUGGUUCGAGCUUCUUGAAGGAAAGGAAGGGAAUUCACUGCCUGCCCUAGAGCUUAUGGGGCUGGGGAAGCUAGUUAAUGAGAAAGCAAGAAUGCUGUCCAUGGGACAGCGGAAAAGGCUGCAACUUGCGAGGUUACUAGCUAUGGACAGGCCAAUAUGGUUGCUUGAUGAACCUUCAGUCGCGCUGGAUGGUGAAGGCGUGAAGUUGCUCGAGUAUAUCAUCCACGAACAUAGGAAGAAAGGGGGGAUUGUCAUUUGCGCCACGCAUCUUCCUAUUGCAAUGGAGGAUCCCAUGGUUUUGAGGUUGCCACCCAGGUUCCCCAGAAGGAUGACUUUAGUCGACAUGCUCGAUCGCGGUGGACCUGAUUGAAACUUGCAAGAUUUGCAUGUUAUUUUAGUUCAUAAACCUGUAGCUGUGCUCGUGAAAAACUCACAUUCGUGUGCAAUAGCUGCGAAUUACGUAGGAUUGGUAAACAUUACUUGGAAAACCAGACCCAGGAACUAGAGCUAUUCGGUCUGUACUCUGGCAUAUAAAUGACGGCAUUAUGUUCACCAUGAAAUGACUCGAACUUGGAUCUCGAUCUGUUUGAGAAUGUUCGUCAUAAUCAUGACCAAGAACGUUGUCGUUGCUGUUGCCGAUCUCUAAUAGUGGAGCUGUCUACAUGGAAAUUUGCUAACAAGAUUGGCACAAUAUUCCUGUCUUUAGCAAGAAAGGAAAUGAAUAAAGUGAACCUGUGCUGUGCUGAAGACCGAUCUCUGUCUCAAAAUGUAUGAAUUGUUAUUAAGAUGCAGAUUAGCUACUGCUAGGAAAUAAAAAUGAUCAUACAAAGCAUGUAUGAAGUUAUUGUGUGAUUACUAUUUCAUACUGUUGCUGCA
This is an RNA transcript of Salvia splendens (bonfire salvia), 1576 nucleotides long. It is a transcript of the gene named ABC transporter I family member 1, with no coding region annotated. Lineage: Eukaryota; Viridiplantae; Streptophyta; Magnoliopsida; Lamiales; Lamiaceae. The transcript is spliced from 3 exons. The record is from RefSeq and is a predicted model, not a curated record.